Hordeum vulgare subsp. vulgare (domesticated barley) is the source of this 650-nucleotide long non-coding RNA. RefSeq lists it as uncharacterized. NCBI's taxonomy places the organism in Eukaryota, Viridiplantae, Streptophyta, Magnoliopsida, Poales, Poaceae. The record is from RefSeq and is a predicted model, not a curated record. The transcript is spliced from 3 exons.
UGUGUGUGUGUUGGAUUUGGAUCAAGGAAGGAGAUGGCAUGAGGAUGAGGCAGUGGAUGGAGGAAGAGGGCGAUGAUGGCUGACGGAGGAGGCAGAUCUUGAUCCAGGCCGACCCUCGUGUCGGAUCUGUUCGUUGAGAUGAUCUUCUCUCCUCCCAUCUCCCCUCUCUUAUCUCACUGACCCCGUCAAGUCUCUGCAGGUAGAGCGGCGUGAGGAGCAGGCCAAUAUCUCUCUUUACCUCCACCCAACACCAACAUGGUGAGCAAGUCUCCCCUAUAUAACCCCGGGUCUGAUCAUCAAUUGCACUUUGAUCUAGCACUGGUAAUAUCUUGCAUGCGUUGGAAGACUACCUGCCAGUUUUGCUAGCAUUGGUUAAAGAUGGAUAGAUAGCGUGUGAAAUCUCUUCUUUGAGGAGGAUGACGAUUGCCAAUGAACAUUAACCCCAACAAGAGCGAAACACAGGCUUACGGUGGGGUGAUCCACGUAUCCUACUUCUACUGUAGAGAGUGAAACAGAGAUAUUUUUUUUGGAUGAGAAAUACAUUGUCCCAGGCAACCUCUCCUAGUAAAAAGAGUGAUGGGCGCUAUCCCGUACGUUUUCUUCCAGUCGAAGCAACCUCUUUCUGUUCCUCUCAUUCUCCUCUUCCUCUC